AGUGAACGCUGGCGGUAGGCCUAACACAUGCAAGUCGAACGGCAGCACAGUAAGAGCUUGCUCUUACGGGUGGCGAGUGGCGGGCGGGUGAGGAAUACAUCGGAAUCUACUUUUUCGUGGGGGAUAACGUAGGGAAACUUACGCUAAUACCGCAUACGACCUACGGGUGAAAGCAGGGGAUCUUCGGACCUUGCGCGAUUGAAUGAGCCGAUGUCGGAUUAGCUAGUUGGCGGGGUAAAGGCCCACCAAGGCGACGAUCCGUAGCUGGUCUGAGAGGAUGUUCAGCCACACUGGAACUGAGACACGGUCCAGACUCCUACGGGGGGCAGCAGUGGGGAAUAUUGGACAAUGGGCGCAAGCCUGAUCCAGCCAUACCGCGUGGGUGAAGAAGGCCUUCGGGUUGUAAAGCCCUUUUGUUGGGAAAGAAAAGCAGCAGGUUAAUACCCCGCUGUUCUGACGGUACCCAAAGAAUAAGCACCGGCUAACUUCGUG
RNAcentral lists this ribosomal RNA (492 nucleotides) under uncultured bacterium. RNAcentral describes it as "partial 16S ribosomal RNA". It matches the Rfam family "Bacterial small subunit ribosomal RNA", at positions 29 to 507 of the family's 1533-position model. The record is from RNAcentral.